AAUCGAACCCGGAGAUAGCUGGUUCUCCUCGAAAUAGCUUUAGGGCUAGCCUCGAUGGAGUCUUACGGAGGUAGAGCACUGAAUUUCUAAGGGGGCGUCAAAGCUUACCAAGGGAUAUCAAACUCCGAAUGCCGUAAAGAUGCUCAUCGGGAGUCAGACUGCACGAGAUAAGUUGGGCAGUCAAAAGGGAAAGAGCCCAGACCUGCUGCUAAGGUCCCAAAGUACGUGUUAAGUGGAAAAGGAUGUGGGAUUUCGAAGACAACUAGGAUGUUGGCUCAGAAGCAGCCAUACAUUCAAAGAGUGCGUAAUAGCUCACUAGUCGAGAGGUCCUGCGCCGAAAAUGUCCGGGGCUGAAACACGACACCGAAGCUUAGGAAUCACAUAGUGAUUGGUAGAGGAGCAUUCUUAAAACCGACGAAGCUGUACCGGAAGGAGCAGUGGAGGGAUAAGAAGAGAGAAUGCCGGAAUGAGUAGCGAGAGGAAGGUGGGAAUCCUUCCGGCCGAAUAUCUAAGGUUUCCAGAGUAAAGCUGAUCUGCUCUGGGUAAGUCGGGGCCUAAGGAGAGGUCGCAAGACGUAUCCGAUGGACAACAGGUUUAGAUUCCUGUACCGCAUAUAAACAGAACUGUGGGGACGCAUGUGGAAAGCAUAAGCCGGGAAUGGAAAGACCGGUACAAGCGGGGUAGGUGUGUGACAGGCAAAUCCGUCGCAUAAGCCGAAGACGUGAUGUGGAGCGAAAUUAAGUAGUGAAGUAUGUGAGCCAUGUGCCGAGAAAAGCCGCUAUUGUUUUAUAUGUGCCCGUACCGUAAACCGACGCAGGUGGAUGAGGAGAGAAUCCUAAGGCCGACGGAAGAAGCAUUGUUAAGGAAUUCGGCAAAAUGACCCCGUAACUUCGGGAGAAGGGGUGCCCACUGAAUGGUGGGCCGCAGAGAAUAGGCUCAAGCAACUGUUUAGCAAAAACACAGGUCUAUGCGAAACCGAAAGGUGAGGUAUAUGGGCUGACGCCUGCCCGGUGCUGGAAGGUUAAGAGGAGAGGUUAGCGCAAGCGAAGCUUUGAAUUUAAGCCCCAGUAAACGGCGGCCGUAACUAUAACGGUCCUAAGGUAGCGAAAUUCCUUGUCGGGUAAGUUCCGACCCGCACGAAAGGCGUAAUGAUUUGAGCGCUGUCUCGACAAUGCAUCCGGUGAAAUUGAAGUACCAGUGAAGAUGCUGGUUACCUGCGCCAGGACGGAAAGACCCCAUGGAGCUUUACUCUAGCUUGAUACUGGGAUUCGGUAUUGCAUGUACAGGAUAGGUGGGAGACUAAGAGGUGAUGACGCCAGUUGUCACGGAGUCGAUGUUGGGAUACCACCCCUGCAGUACUGGGUUUCUAACCUGCGGCCGUGACCCGGCCGGGGGACAAUGUCUGGUGGGGAGUUUGACUGGGGCGGUCGCCUCCGAAAGGGUAUCGGAGGCGCUCAAAGGUUCCCUCAGAAUGGUUGGAAACCAUUCGAAGAGUGCAAAGGCAGAAGGGAGCUUGACUGCGACACCGACGGGUGGAGCAGGUACGAAAGUAGGACUUAGUGAUCCGGUGGUAUAAAGUGGGAUUGCCAUCGCUCAACGGAUAAAAGCUACCCUGGGGAUAACAGGCUUAUCACUCCCAAGAGUUCACAUCGACGGAGUGGUUUGGCACCUCGAUGUCGGCUCAUCGCAUCCUGGGGCUGUAGUAGGUCCCAAGGGUUGGGCUGUUCGCCCAUUAAAGCGGUACGCGAGCUGGGUUCAGAACGUCGUGAGACAGUUCGGUCCCUAUCCGGCGUGGGCGUAGGAUAUUUGAGAGGAGCUGUCCUUAGUACGAGAGGACCGGGAUGGACUGGCCGCUGGUGUAUCUGUUGUCUUACCAAAGGCAUAGCAGAGUAGCCAAGCCGGGAAGGGAUAAACGCUGAAGGCAUCUAAGCGUGAAGCCCCCCUCAAGAUGAGAUAUCCCAUAACGUCAAGUUAGUAAGACCCCUUGA
Molecule: ribosomal RNA, 1988 nt
Filed under: human gut metagenome
Description: bacterial LSU rRNA
Rfam family: Bacterial large subunit ribosomal RNA
Source: RNAcentral